Molecule: transfer RNA, 72 nt
Filed under: Camelus bactrianus (Bactrian camel)
Lineage: Eukaryota; Metazoa; Chordata; Mammalia; Artiodactyla; Camelidae
Also listed under: 1 other name
Rfam family: tRNA
About the family: Transfer RNA (tRNA) molecules are approximately 80 nucleotides in length. Their secondary structure includes four short double-helical elements and three loops (D, anti-codon, and T loops). Further hydrogen bonds mediate the characteristic L-shaped molecular structure. tRNAs have two regions of fundamental functional importance: the anti-codon, which is responsible for specific mRNA codon recognition, and the 3' end, to which the tRNAs corresponding amino acid is attached (by aminoacyl-tRNA synthetases). tRNAs cope with the degeneracy of the genetic code in two manners: having more than one tRNA (with a specific anti-codon) for a particular amino acid; and 'wobble' base-pairing, i.e. permitting non-standard base-pairing at the 3rd anti-codon position.
Source: Rfam by way of RNAcentral
GAGGGUAUAGCUCCGUGGUAGAGCAUAUGCUUAGAAUGCACAAGGUCCUGGGUUCAAUCCCCAGUACCGCCU